GUAGCAAGGUUAACCGUAUAGGGGAGCCGCAGGGAAACCGAGUCUUAACUGGGCGUUAAGUUGCAGGGUAUAGACCCGAAACCCGGUGAUCUAGCCAUGGGCAGGUUGAAGGUUGGGUAACACUAACUGGAGGACCGAACCGACUAAUGUUGAAAAAUUAGCGGAUGACUUGUGGCUGGGGGUGAAAGGCCAAUCAAACCGGGAGAUAGCUGGUUCUCCCCGAAAGCUAUUUAGGUAGCGCCUCGUGAAUUCAUCUUCGGGGGUAGAGCACUGUUUCGGCUAGGGGG
RNAcentral lists this ribosomal RNA (287 nucleotides) under Acinetobacter baumannii. Its description in RNAcentral is "partial 23S ribosomal RNA". It matches the Rfam family "Bacterial large subunit ribosomal RNA", at positions 637 to 926 of the family's 2925-position model. Lineage: Bacteria; Pseudomonadati; Pseudomonadota; Gammaproteobacteria; Moraxellales; Moraxellaceae. The record is from RNAcentral.